GACGGAGGAGGCAAGCGUUAUCCGGAAUGAUUGGGCGUAAAGCGUCCGCAGGUGGCUGUGUAAGUCUGCUGUCAAAGAGCAAAGCUCAACUUUGUAAAGGCAGUGGAAACUACACGGCUAGAGUGCGUUCGGGGCAGAGGGAAUUCCUGGUGUAGCGGUGAAAUGCGUAGAGAUCAGGAAGAACACCGGUGGCGAAGGCGCUCUGCUAGGCCGCAACUGACACUGAGGGACGAAAGCUAGGGGAGCGAAUGGG
This 253-nucleotide ribosomal RNA is filed under the name uncultured bacterium. RNAcentral's name for it is "partial 16S ribosomal RNA". It matches the Rfam family "Bacterial small subunit ribosomal RNA", at positions 524 to 776 of the family's 1533-position model. The record is from RNAcentral.